Long non-coding RNA from Pecten maximus, 1040 nucleotides. RefSeq lists it as uncharacterized. The transcript is spliced from 2 exons. The record is from RefSeq and is a predicted model, not a curated record. NCBI's taxonomy places the organism in Eukaryota, Metazoa, Mollusca, Bivalvia, Pectinida, Pectinidae.
UUUAACUGUGUUUUUGUACAUCUGUUCCACUGUAUAUAUAUAUAUAUUACAUGCCCUGUUAUCACAUCAUUACAGUAAGGGGCCUCAGAUGGGGGCUCUCACUGCUAACUGUAAUAUACAUACUUUAUAAACAUGUGUAUAUAUCAUGUAACUGAGAAUUUUCUCAAGGAUAUCUGCAAGGUGCAGCGAGAAGGAAGAAGCAUUUUGAUACUUCAAUGUCUUACAGAGGUAGAUAUAUAUAUAUACAGUACUGUAUAAUACAGUACCUGGUAAUCCUAAUUGUCUUACAGAGGUAGAUACAUAUAUAUAUAUAAUACAGUACCUGGUAAUAUAAUACAGUACGUGGUAAUAUAAUACAGUACUUGGUAAUCCUAAUUGUCUUACAGAGGUAGAUACAUGUAUAUAUAAUACAGUACCUGGUAAUCCUAAUUGUCUUACAGAGGUAGAUACAUGUAUAUAUAAUACAGUACCUGGUAAUCCUAAUUGUCUUACAGAGGUAGAUACAUAUAUAUAUAUAAUACAGUACCUGGUAAUCCUAAUUGUCUUAAUGGGAGGAACAUUUCACCAAAUUGAUUUUGACAUUAUGCAAGAGUUAUAGUUGAAUUAUAUUAAUCUUUAUUGUAAAUAAAAUUAUGUUAUUGAUUAAAAAUGAUGUACAAUUUCACCUUUGACCUCUUAAAUCUUUAGAGCAUAGACAGUAUAUAAUAGGAUACACAAAGGAAAUCUACAAUUUCACCUUUGACCUCUAGCAGCCUGUAUAUUAAAUCUUUAGAGCAUACACAGUAUAUAGUAGGAUACACACAGGAAAUGUACAAUUUCACCUUUGACCUCUAGCAGCCUGUAUAUUAAAUCUUAAGAGCAUACACAGUAUAUAGUAGGUUACACAAAGGAAAUGUACAAUUUCACCUUUGACCUCUAGCAGUCUGUAUAUUAAAUCUUUAGAGCAUACACAGUAUAUAGUAGGAUACACACAGGAAAUGUACAAUUUCACCUUUGACCUCUAGCAGCCUGUAUAUUAAAUCUUUAGAGCAUACACAGUA